RNAcentral lists this ribosomal RNA (253 nucleotides) under uncultured bacterium. RNAcentral describes it as "partial 16S ribosomal RNA". It matches the Rfam family "Bacterial small subunit ribosomal RNA", at positions 524 to 776 of the family's 1533-position model. The record is from RNAcentral.
UACAGAGGGGGCAAGCGUUGUUCGGAAUUACUGGGCGUAAAGGGCGCGUAGGCGGCCUUCUAAGUCGAACGUGAAAUCCCCGGGCUCAACCCGGGAACUGCGUCCGAUACUGGAAGGCUUGAAUCCGGGAGAGGGAUGCGGAAUUCCAGGUGUAGCGGUGAAAUGCGUAGAUAUUCGCAAGAACACCAGUGGCGAAGGCGGCUCACUGGCCCGAUACUGACGCUGAGGUGCGAAAGCGUGGGGAGCGAACGGG